GUUGCCGAUCAACAAACCAGUUCUGCUCCAAGCCAAGUUAAUGGUACUGCAACUACAGGCUGGGAAUUGGCACUCGUUACAGCACCAAGCUCAAACGAAAGUGUAGCUGCUACUAGCAAAUUGGCCGGAGGGUUGGACUUGCUUACUUUAGACAGCUUAUAUGAUGAUGCAAUCAGAAGAAACAAUCAGAACGUGAGUUACAAUCCAUGGGAGCCAGUUCCAGUGCAUGGUUCCAUGAUGCAACAACAGCCAAUCCAUGAUCCCUUUUUUGCCUCGACUGCGGUAGCUGCACCUCAUUCAGUACAAAUGGCAGCUAUGGCCAACCAGCAGCAAGCUUACAUGUUGCAGCAGCAGCAGAUGAUGAUGAUGGCCCCCCAACCACAACAGU
This 388-nucleotide unclassified non-coding RNA is filed under the name Hevea brasiliensis (rubber tree). The record is from RNAcentral. Lineage: Eukaryota; Viridiplantae; Streptophyta; Magnoliopsida; Malpighiales; Euphorbiaceae.